GGCUACGAGGACGACGCUGGCGGCGUGCCUAAUACAUGCAAGUCGAACGGCUUUUCUAUGGAAGCUUGCUUCCACUGAGAAGAUAGUGGCGAACGGGUGAGUAACACGUGGGUAACCUGCCCAUAAGAGGGGGAUAACAUCCGGAAACGGGUGCUAAUACCGCAUAGUUUUCUUGAUCGCAUGAUUGAGAAAGGAAAGACGGCCUUUGUGCUGUCGCUUAUGGAUGGACCCGCGGCGUAUUAGUUAGUUGGUGAGGUAACGGCUCACCAAGACGAUGAUACGUAGCCGACCUGAGAGGGUGAUCGGCCACAUUGGGACUGAGACACGGCCCAAACUCCUACGGGAGGCAGCAGUAGGGAAUCUUCCGCAAUGGACGAAAGUCUGACGGAGCAACGCCGCGUGAGUGAAGAAAGGUUUUCGGAUCGUAAAACUCUGUUGUCAGAGAAGAACAAGUUGGAGAGUAACUGCUCCAGCCUUGACGGUAUCUGACCAGAAAGCCACGGCUAACUACGUGCCAGCCGCUGC
Molecule: ribosomal RNA, 525 nt
Filed under: uncultured bacterium
Lineage: Bacteria
Description: bacterial SSU rRNA
Rfam family: Bacterial small subunit ribosomal RNA
Source: RNAcentral